RNAcentral lists this non-coding RNA (30 nucleotides) under Rattus norvegicus (Norway rat). The record is from RNAcentral. Lineage: Eukaryota; Metazoa; Chordata; Mammalia; Rodentia; Muridae.
UAAAAUUGUCUUCCUUCUGGCCCCACUCUU